This 378-nucleotide transfer-messenger RNA is filed under the name Aquamicrobium aerolatum DSM 21857. Its description in RNAcentral is "Alphaproteobacteria transfer-messenger RNA". It matches the Rfam family "Alphaproteobacteria transfer-messenger RNA". Rfam says of the family: Bacterial tmRNA, also known as 10Sa RNA or SsrA, is named for its dual tRNA and mRNA-like properties. Its role is to liberate the mRNA from a stalled ribosome. To accomplish this part of the tmRNA is used as a reading frame that ends in a translation stop signal. The record is from Rfam by way of RNAcentral. Lineage: Bacteria; Pseudomonadati; Pseudomonadota; Alphaproteobacteria; Hyphomicrobiales; Phyllobacteriaceae.
CUGCUUGAAUUCUCGCCCCACCGCCUCUAUCUCAGGGAUGCCGUCCUUGUGGCGGCUAAGGUGCUAAACCGGCUGUGCAAUAGACGAACCGGACGCGGUUUCGAAACCGCCACCUCCACCAGGAGUCCAUGGGCUCAAGAGCCAGACUGGCUCGGCAUGGGUUGCUGAUGGGGGUGAAAUGGGAUUGACGGGCGUUGAAAGACAGUUCGCUGUACUCGGCAUUGUACCACCGUUAUCGGGCUAAACUUGUAGUUGCAAACGACAACUAUGCGGAAGCACGUCUCGCUGCUUAAUGCGGUGCGAUAGCUUCAAAUUAAGUCCUAGUGGUUCGCACUUCUAGGCGGGGUUCGGAGGUACCUGGCAACAGAAACCUCCACU